This 286-nucleotide ribosomal RNA is filed under the name Blastocystis sp. RNAcentral describes it as "partial small subunit ribosomal RNA". It matches the Rfam family "Eukaryotic small subunit ribosomal RNA", at positions 46 to 348 of the family's 1831-position model. Lineage: Eukaryota; Bigyra; Opalinata; Blastocystidae. The record is from RNAcentral.
AAGCCUUGCGUGUGUGGAUAUAACUAUUCUACUUUGAAACUGCUAAUGGCUCAUUAGAUCAUUUAUAAUUUAUUUGAUGAAUUGUACUACUUGGAUAACCGUAUUAAUUCUAUAGCGAUACUUGAUCAAUUCCUCCAGUUUGAAGAUGGGUAUUUAUUAGAAUGAGCCCACUUCACUCUGUCUGUUUGUGACUAACAUAACUUGUCAUAUCGCAUGCUUAGGUAUCUAUGUGUCUUUUAACUUUCAUGCCUAUCCUCUUUCCUUGGAAUUGUAGUGGACUACCAUG